GUUAGCUGUCGCGACCUCUUCGAAAAGCGUGUACCUACGAUAGAAUGCGUGGCAAAAACAGGAAUCACCUCGUGGCCGCUUUUACCUGUUAUUCGGCCGGACCCUGUACAAGUUUCAUCGCGCGGUAGAGCCGCGUUCGUCCGAACAGGUCGAGAAACAACGCAGUUCCUGUAACGAGCAGAUCGGAUAGUCGGUAUGUACCUUCGACUCUUCUUAUCGGUUCGAACGGAGAAUUUUGGCGCAUCAUGCGCCAAGCGCCUCUUCCUAGACGCGUCGAAGCUGGCAGCGCGCUUGCACGUGGCGAUCAUCGCGAAGCAACGUGCACCUGUCCGCGAAACAGCAACAGCGGAGCGUUCCCGUCACGAUGGCUGACGUGGUAGCUGCCCGAAGAAUCUAGACGCGUGUCAGAGUUGGGAAAAGAUCGGAAGACGCGUUGCGAGGCGACAGCGUUUGCCAGUUUGUCUCGCGAUCCAGGACGACGUGACACGCGAAUCGGCGGAAGAAGGUUGGCGUUAAUUGCGCGAGUACUUUCACUCGGCGCUGUUAAAACGACCGGCGAAUCGCGUUGACGCGCAAAGAGACGAAGAGAACGGGUUAAAAGCGGUUUAUUGCAGAAGCAGCGCAAAGGAUGGCCGCUUCUUUCGUUCCAGAUUAUUUCCUCCCAUUAUUCGUCGAAGACGUCUACCAUAAAAAGGGGGCAAACAGAUCCGGCGACAGCUGCUUGGCUAUUAAAAGCGACUUAAACCCCAAACCCUCGGUGCGAUCGCAAAAGUUACCUCGCUCGUUCCAUCGAGCCCCCUUCUACCGCGUCUCGGCUCCUCUUCGCGAUUACGCACAAAGCCAACGCAUGUAUACCGCUCGACAGACUUUCCUAGCAAAUAAGCAAAUUGCUAAAUGAGCCGUAACGCCAACCCCCGCCACCGCAAAAAAAGAGGAAGAAAGACGAAACUUGCAGAGGCAGCGAUCUUUCUUUUCGCAAAUUUUACGUUAAAAUGCUACUGGUUUUACCGUGCCACGUUUACUUUCUAACGUUUCGCGAUCUUUCUUUCGCGAUGCAUAAGCCGCACCAGCUUUGUUAUUCGACGCUAACUUUGCCAGGCCCGCUUUCGAAGUUUAAUUUGAAAUUGUACAUCCAUCGUUAUUUCGUUUGUUCGUCCAACUUGUGUUUUCGCGAUGGAUAACUCGAACGAAUGAUCGAGCUGAUGUAUCGGAUGAAAGAGUGAAAUUGUAUAACAUCGUUUGGUUAAUGGUUAGUCAUAGCGAUCGUGUGCACGUUAAAUUGAAACAAAUUGAAAGUCGGAAGUUGUGUAUCCGCGUGGAUGUAGAUUAAUUAAUUCGAUACCGAUGCAAUUAAAUUGAUAUCAAGGUGUUUCGUGAGGACGGCUUCUCAUCUGCAUAAUCUGUAUAUAAUAACAUGGGUGAAAAAAAGGAAUUAGUCCCCCGGCGAUAAACUUUUUACCACCCCAUCGCUUGCUUCUCGAAUCUAGAGCCUCGUGCACUCGCUUCACUGGCUCUUCUCCCAAACUGUUAAAGCAGCGGAUAAAUUAGAAAAAUACUCUUUCGGCUACUGAUACCUCAUAUGGUUCGUUAGUUAUCAGUACCCAAUAAAUUAGUACCUAAUGGCCGUUUCAUCCGGUCGAUUUUUUAUUUAACAAAUAAA
Bombus impatiens (common eastern bumble bee) is the source of this 1660-nucleotide long non-coding RNA. RefSeq lists it as uncharacterized. Lineage: Eukaryota; Metazoa; Arthropoda; Insecta; Hymenoptera; Apidae. The transcript has 2 exons. The record is from RefSeq and is a predicted model, not a curated record.